Molecule: ribosomal RNA, 468 nt
Filed under: uncultured bacterium
Lineage: Bacteria
Description: partial 16S ribosomal RNA
Rfam family: Bacterial small subunit ribosomal RNA
Source: RNAcentral
GACGAACGCUGGCGGCGUGCUUAACACAUGCAAGUCGAACGGAAAGGCCCUGCAUUUGUGGGGUGCUCGAGUGGCGAACGGGUGAGUAACACGUGAGUAACCUGCCCUUGUCUUUGGGAUACCUUAAGGAAACACGAGCUAAUACCGGGUAUGAGCUCCUGCUGCAUGGUGGUGGUUGGAGAGUUUCGCCGGUUGGGGAUGGAGGCGCGGCUUAUCAGCUUGUUGGUGGGGUGGUGGCUUACCAAGGCACUGACGGGUAGCCGGCUUGAGAGGGUGACCGGCCACAUUGGGCCUGAGAUGGGAGCCAGACGCCAACGGGAGGCAGCAGUGGGGAAUAGUGCACGAUGGGCGGAAGCAGGAUGCAGCAACGCCGGGUGCGGGAUGACGGCCGGCGGGGUGGAAAGCGCGUGCGCGUGUGACGAAGCGUGAGUGACGGUAACGGGUAAAGAAGCAACGGCUAACUACGUG